Molecule: transfer RNA, 77 nt
Filed under: Candidatus Tayloriibacteriota bacterium
Lineage: Bacteria; Candidatus Tayloriibacteriota
Description: tRNA-Met
Rfam family: tRNA
About the family: Transfer RNA (tRNA) molecules are approximately 80 nucleotides in length. Their secondary structure includes four short double-helical elements and three loops (D, anti-codon, and T loops).
Source: RNAcentral
GUCGGGGUAGCUCAGUUGGUGAGAGCGUAGCAUUCAUAACGCUAAGGUCGUGGGUUCGACUCCCACCCUCGACACCC